Molecule: ribosomal RNA, 467 nt
Filed under: uncultured bacterium
Lineage: Bacteria
Description: partial 16S ribosomal RNA
Rfam family: Bacterial small subunit ribosomal RNA
Source: RNAcentral
GACGAACGCUGGCGGCGUGCUUAACACAUGCAAGUCGAACGGAAAGGCCCUGCUUUUGUGGGGUGCUCGAGUGGCGAACGGGUGAGUAACACGUGAGUAACCUGCCCUUGACUUUGGGAUAACUUCAGGAAACUGGGGCUAAUACCGGAUAGGAGCUCCUGCUGCAUGGUGGGGGUUGGAAAGUUUCGGCGGUUGGGGAUGGACUCGCGGCUUAUCAGCUUGUUGGUGGGGUAGUGGCUUACCAAGGCUUUGACGGGUAGCCGGCCGGAGAGGGUGACCGGCCACAUUGGGACUGAGAUACGGCCCAGACUCCUACGGGAGGCAGCAGUGGGGAAUAUUGAACAAUGGGCGGAAGCCUGAUGCAGCAACGCCGCGUGCGGGAUGACGGCCUUCGGGUUGUAAACCGCUUUCGCCUGUGACGAAGCGUGAGUGACGGUAAUGGGGAAAGAAGCACCGGCUAACUACGU